RNAcentral lists this unclassified non-coding RNA (266 nucleotides) under Hevea brasiliensis (rubber tree). The record is from RNAcentral. Lineage: Eukaryota; Viridiplantae; Streptophyta; Magnoliopsida; Malpighiales; Euphorbiaceae.
CCAUAAUUGGAUCUUCUGUUCAGGUUAUAUCAAAUCUUUCAGCAACCACUGGUCCAUUGUUUUAUUUGGAGUCUUGGGGACGUUUCCCAAAGGAGAGGAAUCGCCUAUUUAAAUUGAUACUAGAUAGUAAGAGAGAAGGUAUCUUUUUCAUUAGUGGGGACGUUCAUUUUGGAGAAAUCUCUCGAUAUGACUGCGCUACUGGAUAUCCACUGUAUGACGUGACCUCAAGUGGACUUACCCAAGCUGUUGAGAAGGCAGUCCGGCGG